AAGCAAUGACAAAAGGGUUCCAACUGACCUCUGUAACUGUGAGGUUUCCUACACUUGACCUGAGCUCA
Molecule: small nucleolar RNA, 68 nt
Organism: Lepus europaeus (European hare)
Lineage: Eukaryota; Metazoa; Chordata; Mammalia; Lagomorpha; Leporidae
Product: small nucleolar RNA U2-30
Exons: 1
Source: RefSeq, a predicted model, not a curated record